GCCGAGGUGGCGGAAUGGCAGACGCAGGAGACUUAAAAUCUCCCGUCAGAAAUGGCGUGUGGGUUCGAAUCCCUCCCUCGGUACCA
This 86-nucleotide transfer RNA is filed under the name Candidatus Terrybacteria bacterium RIFCSPLOWO2_01_FULL_40_23. RNAcentral's name for it is "tRNA-Leu". It matches the Rfam family "tRNA". Rfam says of the family: Transfer RNA (tRNA) molecules are approximately 80 nucleotides in length. Their secondary structure includes four short double-helical elements and three loops (D, anti-codon, and T loops). Further hydrogen bonds mediate the characteristic L-shaped molecular structure. tRNAs have two regions of fundamental functional importance: the anti-codon, which is responsible for specific mRNA codon recognition, and the 3' end, to which the tRNAs corresponding amino acid is attached (by aminoacyl-tRNA synthetases). tRNAs cope with the degeneracy of the genetic code in two manners: having more than one tRNA (with a specific anti-codon) for a particular amino acid; and 'wobble' base-pairing, i.e. permitting non-standard base-pairing at the 3rd anti-codon position. Lineage: Bacteria; Candidatus Terryibacteriota. The record is from RNAcentral.